GCCCAUGUAGCUCAAUGGUUAGAGCGUGGGACUUUUACAUUCAUUAGAAGUGGAAAUCCCAAGGCUGUGAGUUCGAGUCUCAUCAUGGGCG
Non-coding RNA from Jackrogersella minutella, 91 nucleotides. Lineage: Eukaryota; Fungi; Ascomycota; Sordariomycetes; Xylariales; Hypoxylaceae. The record is from the annotation of a GenBank genome assembly.